RNAcentral lists this ribosomal RNA (699 nucleotides) under uncultured organism. RNAcentral describes it as "bacterial SSU rRNA". It matches the Rfam family "Bacterial small subunit ribosomal RNA", at positions 19 to 706 of the family's 1533-position model. The record is from RNAcentral.
CUGGCUCAGAACGAACGCUGGCGGCGCGUUUAAGCAUGCAAGUCGCGGAGUAAACACCUUCGGGUGUUUGAGACCGGCGGACGGGUGAGUAACACGUAGGUAAUCUGCCUGAGGGUUGGGGAUAGCCCAUGGAAACAUGGGGUAAUACCGAAGAUACGUCUUAUCUUACACAAGUGAGAUAAGGGAAAGGUGCUUAGGCACCGCCCACAGAUGAGCCUGCGUCUCAUUAGUUAGUUGGUGGGGUAACGGCCUACCAAGGCAACGAUGAGUAGCCGGCCUGAGAGGGUGAACGGCCACACUGGGACUGAGACACGGCCCAGACUCCUACGGGAGGCAGCAGCUAAGAAUCUUCCGCAAUGGACGAAAGUCUGACGGAGCGACGCCGCGUGUGUGAUGAAGGCGGAAACGUUGUAAAGCACUUUUCCUGGGGAAGAAUAAGGUGAGGAGGUAAUGCCUCAUCGAUGACACGAACUAGGGAAUAAGCCCCGGCUAAUUACGUGCCAGCAGCCGCGGUAACACGUAAGGGGCGAGCGUUGUUCGGAAUUAUUGGGCGUAAAGGGCGUGUAGGCGGCCUGGUAAGUCUGGUGUGAAAGACCGCAGCUUAGCUGCGGGACCGCGCUGGAGACUAUCAGGCUAGAGUCUAAGAGGGGGAACUAGAAUCCCCGGUGUAGGGGUGACAUCUGUAGAUCUCUGGAAGAA